AGCUGCGGCAGCGACACUGUGUGUUGUUGGGUAGGGGAGCGUUCUGUAAGCCUGUGAAGGUGUGUCGUGAGGCAUGCUGGAGGUAUCAGAAGUGCGAAUGCUGACAUAAGUAACGAUAAAGCGGGUGAAAAGCCCGCUCGCCGGAAGACCAAGGGUUCCUGUCCAACGUUAAUCGGGGCAGGGUGAGUCGACCCCUAAGGCGAGGCCGAAAGGCGUAGUCGAUGGGAAACGGGUUAAUAUUCCCGUACUUGGUGUUACUGCGAAGGGGGGACGGAGAAGGCUAUGUUGGCCGGGCGACGGUUGUCCCGGUUUAAGCGUGUAGGUGUGUGUUCCAGGUAAAUCCGGUUCACUUUAACACUGAGGCGUGACGACGAGGCACUACGGUGCUGAAGCAACAAAUGCCCUGCUUCCAGGAAAAGCCUCUAAGCAUCAGGUAACAUCAAAUCGUACCCCAAACCGACACAGGUGGUCAGGUAGAGAAUACCAAGGCGCUUGAGAGAACUCGGGUGAAGGAACUAGGCAAAAUGGUGCCGUAACUUCGGGAGAAGGCACGCUGACACGUAGGUGAAGUGAUUUACUCAUGGAGCUGAAGUCAGUCGAAGAUACCAGCUGGCUGCAACUGUUUAUUAAAAACACAGCACUGUGCAAACACGAAAGUGGACGUAUACGGUGUGACGCCUGCCCGGUGCCGGAAGGUUAAUUGAUGGGGUCAGCGCAAGCGAAGCUCCUGAUCGAAGCCCCGGUAAACGGCGGCCGUAACUAUAACGGUCCUAAGGUAGCGAAAUUCCUUGUCGGGUAAGUUCCGACCUGCACGAAUGGCGUAAUGAUGGCCAGGCUGUCUCCACCCGAGACUCAGUGAAAUUGAACUCGCUGUGAAGAUGCAGUGUACCCGCGGCAAGACGGAAAGACCCCGUGAACCUUUACUAUAGCUUGACACUGAACAUUGAGCCUUGAUGUGUAGGAUAGGUGGGAGGCUUUGAAGUGUGGACGCCAGUCUGCAUGGAGCCGACCUUGAAAUACCACCCUUUAAUGUUUGAUGUUCUAACGUGGACCCGUUACCCGGGUUGCGGACAGUGUCUGGUGGGUAGUUUGACUGGGGCGGUCUCCUCC
This 1110-nucleotide ribosomal RNA is filed under the name Salmonella enterica. Its description in RNAcentral is "partial 23S ribosomal RNA". It matches the Rfam family "Bacterial large subunit ribosomal RNA", at positions 1198 to 2290 of the family's 2925-position model. The record is from RNAcentral. Lineage: Bacteria; Pseudomonadati; Pseudomonadota; Gammaproteobacteria; Enterobacterales; Enterobacteriaceae.